AACGGGUGAGUAAUGCGUGACCGACCUGCCCCAUACACCGGAAUAGCUCCUGGAAACGGGUGGUAAUGCCGGAUGCUCCGACUCCUCGCAUGGGGUGUCGGGAAAGAUUUCAUCGGUAUGGGAUGGGGUCGCGUCCUAUCAGGUAGUCGGCGGGGUAACGGCCCACCGAGCCUACGACGGGUAGCCGGCCUGAGAGGGCGACCGGCCACAUUGGGACUGAGAUACGGCCCAGACUCCUACGGGAGGCAGCAGUGGGGAGUAUUGCACAAUGGGCGCAAGCCUGAUGCAGCGACGCCGCGUGCGGGAUGACGGCCUUCGGGUUGUAAACCGCUUUUGAUCGGGAGCAAGCCUUCGGGUGAGUGUACCUUUCGAAUAAGCACCGGCUAACUACGUGCCAGCAGCCGCGGUAAUACGUAGGGCGCAAGCGUUAUCCGGAAUUAUUGGGCGUAAAGGGCUCGUAGGCGGUUCGUCGCGUCCGGUGUGAAAGUCCAUCGCUUAACGGUGGAUCUGCGCCGGGUACGGGCGGGCUGGAGUGCGGUAGGGGAGACUGGAAUUCCCGGUGUAACGGUGGAAUGUGUAGAUAUCGGGAAGAACACCAAUGGCGAAGGCAGGUCUCUGGGCCGUUACUGACGCUGAGGAGCGAAAGCGUGGGGAGCGAACAGGAUUAGAUACCCUGGUAGUCCACGCCGUAAACGGUGGAUGCUGGAUGUGGGGCCCGUUCCACGGGUUCCGUGUCGGAGCUAACGCGUUAAGCAUCCCGCCUGGGGAGUACGGCCGCAAGGCUAAAACUCAAAGAAAUUGACGGGGGCCCGCACAAGCGGCGGAGCAUGCGGAUUAAUUCGAUGCAACGCGAAGAACCUUACCUGGGCUUGACAUGUUCCCGACAGCCGUAGAGAUAUGGCCUCCCUUCGGGGCGGGUUCACAGGUGCUGCAUGGUCGUCGUCAGCUCGUGUCGUGAGAUGUUGGGUUAAGUCCCGCAACGAGCGCAACCCUCGCCCUGUGUUGCCAGCACGUCAUGGUGGGAACUCACGGGGGACCGCCGGGGUCAACUCGGAGGAAGGUGGGGAUGACGUCAGAUCAUCAUGCCCCUUACGUCCAGGGCUUCACGCAUGCUACAAUGGCCGGUACAACGGGAUGCGACACGGCGACGUGGAGCGGAUCCCUGAAAACCGGUCUCAGUUCGGAUUGGAGUCUGCAACCCGACUCCAUGAAGGCGGAGUCGCUAGUAAUCGCGGAUCAGCAACGCCGCGGUGAAUGCGUUCCCGGGCCUUGUACACACCGCCCGUCAAGUCAUGAAAGUGGGUAGCACCCGAAGCCGGUGGCCUAACCCC
Molecule: ribosomal RNA, 1331 nt
Filed under: metagenome
Description: bacterial SSU rRNA
Rfam family: Bacterial small subunit ribosomal RNA
Source: RNAcentral